AAGGAUCAUUAACGAGAUAGGCCCUCACGGGUCGACCUCCCACCCUUUGUCUACCAUACCUCUUGUUGCUUUGGCGGGCCGCAUCGCUACCGGCUUCGGCUGGUAAGUGCCCGCCAGAGGAAAACAUAAACCUUUAUUUUUGAUGUCUUGUCUGAAUAAAUUAUAAUAUUUAAAACUUUCAACAACGGAUCUCUUGGCUCUG
Molecule: unclassified non-coding RNA, 202 nt
Filed under: uncultured fungus
Lineage: Eukaryota; Fungi
Description: partial contains 5.8S ribosomal RNA, internal transcribed spacer 2, and large subunit ribosomal RNA
Source: RNAcentral